CUUCUCCACAUCACCAUCGGUCACCUCAAUCUGAGGCUGAUGGCAGGCUGUGGAUCGACCGGUCGGCACUAUACUCCUCUGUGAGUGACUCGCUUUCCACAACAGAGGAUGUCCUGAUAAGAGAGAAGCAGAAACAAUAAUGCAGUCUUAUGUUCCCCUAAAGUGAGGGAGCCACUGCUUGGAGAAAGCUCACGAUGAGAUGAAGACUCCCUUUCCUCAAAGUCUUCCUCCUCUGGGGGUAAUUUGGAGACCGUGGCUGACCAAGCGUAUUCACCUAUUCUGACCAGAAGGAAAAGAGGCGAGAGUCCACGGUUCGUAUUUAGCUGGGUGUUUCGACGAUCACGGCCAUAGGAUCUCCCUCCUGUUGUUGGGAACCAGAGGGGGUCUCCUUCAGUGGUAUGGCUGCGAGGAUGUCAGCUGUAUUGGGGCUGCCUACUGUGACUUCAAGUAUUGUAACAUCUGAUCAGCCGGCAGAGGCACGACAUGGUCUAAUAUUCCAGCUGCGGAGGGGGUCUCCUCCCCUAGGAUACUCCUUACGCUUGCUUCAUCCAUUAUUGGGAAAGGGGGUGACCUGGAUGAUUUGAUUGCGUUUGCUUGUUUCAGUCUUUAUAUCCAGAGGUGGUAGGAAGUAAUGUCCUGGGAAUGGAGUCUGAUAGGGUGGCUUGUAGAAUCUGCAAAAGACCAUAUUACUGAAGGGGGGCGACCAGGGUGUAUACGACAACCCCCUGUUUGGUUUAAGGACUACAUUGUAACAUCUUAGGCACUCUUAGGGAGUCCAGGUUUAUGAGGGUGGGUAAUGUAGCGUGUCAUUAGACACUGGCAAAGAAGUCCGUCUUUUAUUUAUACAUGAUUUAAAGUGUUUGUUAUUGUUGUGCUUAGCUGCAAAUGCACUUACUUUUUCUCUUUAUAUGUCGGUAAACUCUAAUUGUAAGGGUUCACAUAUGGGCAGGGGGUUUGUAUUUGGGGAGGUCUGUUAAAAGUGUGCUGUGUAUGCUUUUUGACACUAAUGACUGUGUGCUGUGGACUUAAAAUAUAUACUGGGUUGAUUUUA
Misgurnus anguillicaudatus (oriental weatherfish) is the source of this 1051-nucleotide non-coding RNA. NCBI's taxonomy places the organism in Eukaryota, Metazoa, Chordata, Actinopteri, Cypriniformes, Cobitidae. The record is from RefSeq and is a predicted model, not a curated record.